This is a long non-coding RNA of Thalassophryne amazonica, 107 nucleotides long. RefSeq lists it as uncharacterized. Lineage: Eukaryota; Metazoa; Chordata; Actinopteri; Batrachoidiformes; Batrachoididae. The transcript is spliced from 4 exons. The record is from RefSeq and is a predicted model, not a curated record.
CAUCAAAAAUGCUGUUUCUGAGGUAAAACCAAGAAAUGCAGAGGAAUUGUGGAAUGUUGUCUAGUGGUCCUGGGCUGGAAUAUCUCAUGCACUGGGACUUGCCAGGU